Molecule: ribosomal RNA, 425 nt
Filed under: uncultured bacterium
Lineage: Bacteria
Description: bacterial SSU rRNA
Rfam family: Bacterial small subunit ribosomal RNA
Source: RNAcentral
GUGGGGAAUAUUGCACAAUGGGGGAAACCCUGAUGCAGCGACGCCGCGUGAGUGAAGAAGUAUUUCGGUAUGUAAAGCUCUAUCAGCAGGGAAGAAAAUGACGGUACCUGACUAAGAAGCCCCGGCUAACUACGUGCCAGCAGCCGCGGUAAUACGUAGGGGGCAAGCGUUAUCCGGAUUUACUGGGUGUAAAGGGAGCGUAGACGGCAUGGCAAGCCAGAUGUGAAAACCCAGGGCUCAACCUUGGGAUUGCAUUUGGAACUGCCAGGCUGGAGUGCAGGAGAGGUAAGCGGAAUUCCUAGUGUAGCGGUGAAAUGCGUAGAUAUUAGGAGGAACACCAGUGGCGAAGGCGGCUUGCUGGACUGUAACUGACGUUGAGGCUCGAAAGCGUGGGGAGCAAACAGGAUUAGAUACCCCUGUAGUCC